UACAGAGGGUGCGAGCGUUAAUCGGAAUUACUGGGCGUAAAGCGUGCGUAGACGGUCAUGUAAGUCGGAUGUGAAAGCCCCGGGCUCAACCUGGGAAUUGCAUUCGAGACUGCAUGGCUUGGGUGCGGAAGAGGGAAGCGGAAUUUCCGGUGUAGCGGUGAAAUGCGUAGAUGUCGGAAGGAACACCAGUGGCGAAAGCGGCUUCCUGGUCCGACACCGACGUUCAGGCACGAAAGCGUGGGGAGCAAACAGG
This 253-nucleotide ribosomal RNA is filed under the name uncultured bacterium. RNAcentral describes it as "partial 16S ribosomal RNA". It matches the Rfam family "Bacterial small subunit ribosomal RNA", at positions 524 to 776 of the family's 1533-position model. The record is from RNAcentral.